CAGCUGCAGCUCACCCGUCGUUCUACUUCUGAUCUGUGAGCAUUAGCAGCCUUUUUGUGAGCCCCUUGUUCAUUAUAUUAAUCAUUACAAAACAGAUGCCACAGACCUAACGCCAUGCAUGAGAUGUGGUGACUUCUCCCCACCCCGAAUCUUUCCCUCACUCUCCUUUUUAAUCUUUUCUUUUUCAUUCUGACUCAAUUUUUCUUUCCUCCAGCAGUCUAGGCUGAUGUGUACAUCUGCCUUACCAGACCUGCGCAGGGCCUUUUUUAUCACCAGGCAGUGGGUACACAGUUUAUGAAGUCAAAUCUUCCGGACUUUUAGGCAAGGAUGGAAACCUAGAGCCAUGAAGUUCUUCUGUGGGAAACUCUAGCGGAAGAUUUACUGACAGCACAUCACUGGAAUUCAAGAGGGCAGAGAAGGCAGCUUGGCUUGGCUGGCAGAGUGAAGGAGCAUCUGCUUUCCCAUCCAGGAACAGAUGUCAGUAAUUUUCCAGAGGGGAGGCCCUGCAAGGUUACCAAUUCCAUUCAAAUUACACAAGGUGGACACUGUGUUCUACUAUCAAUGUACUCAGUAUAGUUUUCAAGAACAGUGUAAGAACAUUUAAUAUCAGUGCAUUUGCCUUGGUGGUGUCAUUUCCCUCCUUGGGUAUGACUGUCAGAAAGUUUUUUU
This is a long non-coding RNA of Chelonia mydas (Green sea turtle), 669 nucleotides long. RefSeq lists it as uncharacterized. The record is from RefSeq and is a predicted model, not a curated record. NCBI's taxonomy places the organism in Eukaryota, Metazoa, Chordata, Testudines, Cheloniidae. The transcript is spliced from 3 exons.